Molecule: long non-coding RNA, 2402 nt
Filed under: Fragaria vesca (wild strawberry)
Lineage: Eukaryota; Viridiplantae; Streptophyta; Magnoliopsida; Rosales; Rosaceae
Description: long non-coding RNA (FVES_LNC001127)
Source: RNAcentral
CCUUGAUCAACAUCAGGUACAGCAUCCACAAGAGAUGGGAGCUUGCCACAGUAGUUAUUCUGAAAACAUGGCAAGGGAUUUUCAGAAAGGGACAUACCAUCCAUAAAACUUUGAAUUUCAUCAGUAUUGAACUGACAAACUCCAUUUAAGAUCAAACAAGAUGGAUGGCUCCCAGCACCUUCAGAAAAGUUCCCGGGAUGGGAGAUGGUGAGAGGUUGAGUAAUGCUGGUACUGCUUUCUGAGUUACUGAAAUGGCCAGGAAAAUUCCAGCUCUUCAUUCCCUUGAUCUCUUCCCGAUGGGCCCGAAGAUGCCCACCUACAGCCUGGGGACUGUAGAACACUCUUUGGCAAAAUAAGCAGCGGAAACCCUUUUCAAGGUUCAAAAAGAAACUCAUUCUCGAAGUGAAAAAUGAGACCCUUUAUAGACUUCUUGCAAGAAGUAAAACUAGCAGGAGCAAUAAAAAUGAAGGGAUGAGGAAGAGUGCCUUUCACCUUACCUCUAUUUAUACACUUUAACAGGGUAGCUAGAGGCCAUAGGGCUGAAGAGUAAUUAAAAGAAAACAACAAUACUGAUAAAUCUCAUUUAAGAAAAUAUCUCAGAGAAAGCACAAAAGUUAAAAAGUUGCCAGUAAAGCUUCAUGCGGUAGAUUCUUUCCAGAAAUCCUAUCUGCAUGCAUAAUAUCCAUUAAAUGCGUAGAAAUGCAUCAACGGCAAUUACGCGUUGCAAAACAAAUGUCAUAGCACAACGGAUAGUACACCUGCUAUAGUAGGGUCAGGAAACAACCUUUAAUUAACACUUACAAAUCUGUUCAGGGGUAAGGAUAUUUUAGCUUUAAUAGUCUGCAAAACUUGGGUUUUAGAUGGUCACUUUUCUACGUAUUAGCUUGCUAUAUCUGGCAGGAGCCUGUAAUCAUGGUCAAAGUGUGUUUUAGUCAAAACGUAAAAAUUAAAUAAAAGAAAUUAGAAAUAUACAUGAGCCAAGUAGAGCUGUCUCGCAUAUGCUACUAGAUUCGAUUUUAUGAGACGCCGCUUUGUGCACAGAUUGUAAGAUUAGGACUAUAGAACCUUACUUUCCUAGAAAUAACACCAAGCUUGGCCUAUCUCAGUGGAUGUACUACAAGUGUGUACACACAUUAUACAUAUAUCUGUUUGUGUGUCUACAAUAUUUAUGCCUGCAUGUGUGUCUACAAUAUUUAUGCAACUUAGGUAGAUAUGUUAUAUAAGUGAUUGACCUAUUAAAACUUUAUGACAUCAACCUCAUCGAGUGCACAGUCAAAUCUUCAUUUGCUUAAAUCUCCUUUCUUCAUUAAAUUCAUAAUAAUUUACUACAAUAGUGAGAUUACAAUAUAUUAUUUAAUUAUGCCAGUGUUAUAUAUACAAAGCUAUCAUAUCUGAUAAGGAUUUGGGAUAUAACCAAUAAAAGUGGUGUGAAACCUUGGUUCACACUGAAAACCCUCAUUCGCAGCAACUUCUUAGGAAGUCCACACAUGCAGUCAUGCACGUGUCUAUUUAUGCCUGUAUAUACAUAUCUGUGCAGGUUAUGUAGAAGAACUUCAGAACUUUCAGAGAGUUCUCAUUCUUCUUACCUAAAACCACCAGGAUGUGGUGACUUUCUAAUCUAACACUUCUUACCUGAUAUUUCUUACAUAGCUUAAUUUUAAUCCCUUACCUAAUAUGGAAAAUGUGAGUUCAUCCUCUAUAAGAAGGAAGUGAGCUCAUUAUAAUAUUGCUAGCAUCUGAGCCUAAGCAAAUACAAAUAUAUCUGGCAGCAGAUGCCCAAAAUAACAUCUAUUCGCAUGGUACAUGACCAGGAUCAUACCCAUCUCAUGUACCUUCCCUUCAGAGGGCAGGCAUAUAUAGUCAUUCUGUUGUUUCCAGGCAAACUUGGUGUCUUGAGGAUGUGAAAAGAGUACAGAAAAAAAAUACAACCCUGUGAUUGGAUUUUGAGUUCUCUUCAAUUCAUUAAAAAUAUUGAACACAAGAAAGAGAGAACCAUAUCAAAUUACUGAGCUUGAAAUCAUUCUUUUUCAAUUGAUACUAUUUAGAGCAAGUCUUUUCAUGAACUACUUCGAAAUGUUGAAAUGAUUGAAAGCCACCUUGGUACUUUUUCAUGCCAGUUGAAACAAGAUUCUGGCACAUUACUAGCACUCAUUUUAAGCUAGUUCAAUUUUUUACAUUAAUAAGAAAAGUGCCACUAAAAUAAAACUGAAUGAAAGCAUGAGAUGAUUAUAAGAUCAGAGAAAUUAUAACAAUGAUUUCUAAGAGAGUCAUGCACUACCACAACUCUUGGCUAAGUCAUAUUCUAGUUUCAGUAGCACACUUCUUUUCAAACAUAAUAAUAUUAAUAAAUAAAUAACAGCACUCGCUUACAUGAUUAAGAUAAUGAAGAAUAAGGUACUUAC